Molecule: long non-coding RNA, 468 nt
Organism: Labrus mixtus (cuckoo wrasse)
Lineage: Eukaryota; Metazoa; Chordata; Actinopteri; Labriformes; Labridae
Exons: 2
Source: RefSeq, a predicted model, not a curated record
GCUGACCUGAGCAUUGCUGCAAAGAACAGAUAUGUAUACAUUCUCAAAUGGAUAGAAAAUUAAUUCUGUCCAUUUUUUUAUUUGAAAGAAUGGCACAAACUAAAUGAAAAGAAAUGCAACAAUAUGUUUGUUUGUUUUUCUCACAAAAAGUGUAAUGAUUAAAGCAUCAAUUUGUUGAACAAUCAUUUUAUCUGGAAUGUUACGAGGAUGUAAAUAAAAAAAUAACAAUCCAAAUUUAAAUUUAUCAAAGAACACUUUUUCAUCUCCAUGCAAAGUUUGUUUUGACAAAGAAAUUAAAUUAAGGUAAAACAUUGUGAGGCACCAUCACAUCACAUUUUAAAAAAGGACACAUUAGGGGACAACAAAUGAGUUCUUAUGAGGGGCUAUAGGGUUGGUCUUUGACUUUGUUUGUUUUUUCUCAUCCCAAUGCCACUCGCUCUUAAAGUCUUAAAGUACAUGUACUUUAAG